GGCUAGGCCCAGUGCAGUGAUGUUUACAACUAGUUGAUCACAACCAGUUGCAGAUUCCCUUGUUCCUUGUCAACUCUCAUUGCUUCUCUUGAUUAGCCUUAA
Unclassified non-coding RNA from Otolemur garnettii (small-eared galago), 102 nucleotides. It matches the Rfam family "Y RNA". From Rfam's summary of the family: Y RNAs are components of the Ro ribonucleoprotein particle (Ro RNP), in association with Ro60 and La proteins. The Y RNAs and Ro60 and La proteins are well conserved, but the function of the Ro RNP is not known. NCBI's taxonomy places the organism in Eukaryota, Metazoa, Chordata, Mammalia, Primates, Galagidae. The record is from Ensembl.